Molecule: RNA transcript, 3093 nt
Organism: Balaenoptera musculus (blue whale)
Lineage: Eukaryota; Metazoa; Chordata; Mammalia; Artiodactyla; Balaenopteridae
Gene: TMEM167B
Gene name: transmembrane protein 167B
Exons: 5
Source: RefSeq, a predicted model, not a curated record
GGUCAAGCUGUGUGCAAUUAAGAAUUUCAGUGUACAAAAUGGGAUCUGCGGCUUUGUCUCCUCCAUCCUGCGCCACCAUUAAACUGAAGGUCCCUAGCUCGGCAAUCUGCUAGCCACGCCUGAUUGCGUUCGGCGCUCGCCUCUCUGCCCUUGCACCUGCGUACUACGGCGCCUGCCCGUCGUCGCGGCCCGGAUCGGGAAGUGUCAAGCGGGAGCUGGGUUCCCCCGCCUUUGCCGCUAUCACCGCUGACCCCCCGGACCCCAACUCCAGGCCCGGGCCCAGCCGCCAUGACGAACGAUGCAGAUCUGAGAGACUUGGCCAAAUAUCUACCUCUCCUUUAUCACAUGAGUGAUUUAUAGGAAGAACAUGUUUCAUUCUCUCAGCUCAGGCUCGAAGGAUUCUUAUGCCUCUCUCAACCUAAUGCCAACACUGGCCAUUCCUGUGUACUCCUUGGAUGGGAUUCUGGUGUUUGGUUUGCUCUUUGUUUGCACCUGUGCCUACUUCAAGAAAGUACCUCGUCUCAAAAGCUGGCUGCUGUCAGAGAAGAAGGGAGUUUGGGGUGUGUUUUACAAAGCUGCUGUGAUUGGAACUAGGCUGCAUGCUGCUGUAGCAAUCGCCUGCGUUGUAAUGGCCUUCUACGUCCUGUUUAUAAAAUGAAUUCCAAAGCAUCCAUUUCAUCAACUGCCAACCAAGGGGACGAAGGUGAAGAGCCUGUCAGGAACCUGGGCCCAGCGUAGGAGAGUUCAGCUAAAAUCAUCAAAGUCCCCAGGAUGACACCACAGCAUCUGCCCCUACGUUAUGUGGGGAAAACUCCUCGUGGUUACAAACAUUAUUUAUGCUUCAGGGGACUACAGAAAGCCAGCUUCCUUUGACCUGUGUGUAAAUCAGUCCUCAGCAGAGAGCCUAUAAUGUCCAGAUAAAUUACACCCCUCAGUGAUACGAUUACAUACCUCCUGCUGAAAAAUCUGUCACCUAUUUUGUUCUUCAGCCCCUCAUCAGGAACUUUUCACACUGAGGCUUAUUAGGGGAGGAUAUAAGCUGUAUUCAAACUUCUUGGAAGGAGAGAUAAUUUUCAAGACUUGACUUUUUUUUUUUUAGUGUUUGAUUUGGAUUUGGCAAAUUGCAGGGGGCUGGGAGGCUGGGGUGGGGAGGCUGGGUGGGAAAUAGGAGUUAAACAAUGCCAAGGAAUAUUUUGGCUUUGGAAAUUUAUCUUUCAUAUACCCGUCUGGGCACAUAAGAGAGAGGCAUGAUCCUCAUUGCAAAAAGAGAACAGACGAAAUAGCUGUGCUGUGUGCUGGUAGCCAGAGAGUUUUGCCAAGAGAAUCUGGGCCUAAGUAAGAUUUGGAAAUUGUCUGUGAUGAAACCAGAAAGGAGUAACUUAGACAAGAAACAAUGUUCUAUUCACCAGUAUUCCCAAAAGGAAACUUCACCCCCUCAAAUGGUAUAUUGAAACUGUUGCUAUUUUCCUAAAGCUUUUUAAAUAUUUUCUAAAUUACUGAGUGCUAAAUACUGUUACUCAGUUUUAAAUGCCACCACUAGGGGAAAGAGAAACUAUUGAAGAAAUAAUUUGCAGUUGGGGUAGAAGAAAUAAAUAAAUCUAGUAUAUUAAUUCAUAUACUAGUAAAGUCAUCUAGAAUUUAUUGUGAUGUUAGAUGGAAGUUCUGUCAUAUUAACCAAGAUACAAACUUAUUCUUUGUUUAACUCUGGGUUAUUAUGGCAAUUUUCAGUCGAUUACUUGUGUUUCUUGGCCCACUUUUAAUUUUCUUCAUAUUGUAGUAUUCUUUAGCUGUCUCUUGGAAAUUAUAAGAACAUGGGAAAUUUGAAUGAGAGAAGUUGAUGGCAUUCAUAGGCAUGUUUGGACAGUUCAGAGAAUCCAUGAAUAAAAUGAGAGUGUUUUCUAAAGUAAAGGAAAGCAGAGGUUUGCAAUUGGGAUUGAUGGGCUUUUCCAUGGAGUAUGGGAACUCCUGAGCAAAUCAUUUUCGAUGACUCUACAUUUGAAGGGAAGACUUCUCCAUUCCCUCCUCCUUUUAUCUGCAAAAGGAUCAACUGUUGGAUUUAUGAAGCCUAGAACUUCUCUAUUAAAAAAAAAAAGAGUUGGUCUAAAAUUAAAUUAUCGUAAAGAGCAAGCAGAGACAUAGGUCUACCAGUGGAAUUGUUCACUAAGGUAAAACUUGACUGUGGACAAGUUGGCUGUGGUUGACCCCAGUGUGGCAGUAAAUUGUCUUUUGUCUUAUUCCAAAAGAACAAAAGCUGCUAGGAAGUUUAGGUUCUGAAACAUGCAGUUUAGUGCUUUGACGGUUCCUAGAAGUAUAGAAAGUCAUCAAGUAAACACUGCAUGUCUAAUCAUCUCAGAGUUAUGGUUGUUAUCUCUUCAGGAAUUGGUCCACAGGGUAAAUUUCAAUGAUUCAUAUAUUUUUCAUUGUCAUUUCUGAGGAUCUUUCACACAAGAGAAAGGAAAGCUAGUGGAACAGAAAGAAGAGUUACACCUUGUGGGUGUGAGUUUGGAACCUGUUGGCCAACGGGAAUGUCACUCUCUGGAAAUACAGGUUCAGCAUGUUUUGCACUUGUUAUUUUGUAGCUUUAAUGACUUUUGUUUCCUAAUAGGGCUAAUAUCUCUAAGCUUGGUGUUUAGAGCUUCUUCAUAUUUUAAACUAGUCCCAUUUCACAGUUCAGAUCAAUUUUUACAGACUCCUGGGUGGGUCAUCUUGACCUAAACUCUUGAACUGUUAUAUUUUGAGAUGUUUUCAUACCAGAAUGUACCAAAAAGUACACAGAGUGAAGGUAAUUUACAGCAAGAAGCAAAUACACAGCUUAUUUCAUUUCUUGACUUUAGAUAAGCAGAAACUUGUUUAAUUCAUUACUUUGGUUGAUGUGUCAUAUAUUUUUGACUGAAAAUUGUAGGAAGUUGUUCCUCUAAGGGAGUCUUUUAGGGGUGGAAGAAGGGGGAUAGCAGUGUUGCCUCAGAUUCAAACUGGCAUCACCAUAAACCCUGUAUGCCAGGGUGGAAUGAAGUCAGCUUUUUAUAGUUGAAAUAAGACUUUUUAUUCACCAUUGUCUGCACAAAUCCUUGAAAAUAAAGUUUCUUUCCCUAC